UUCUGGCUCAGGAUGAACGCCAGCUACAGGCUUAACACAUGCAAGUCGAGGGGAAACGACAUCGAAAGCUUGCUUUUGAUGGGCGUCGACCGGCGCACGGGUGAGUAACGCGUAUCCAACCUGCCCAUCACUUGGGGAUAACCUUGCGAAAGUAAGACUAAUACCCAAUGAUAUCUCUAGAAGACAUCUGAAAGAGAUUAAAGAUUUAUCGGUGAUGGAUGGGGAUGCGUCUGAUUAGCUUGUUGGCGGGGUAACGGCCCACCAAGGCUACGAUCAGUAGGGGUUCUGAGAGGAAGGUCCCCCACAUUGGAACUGAGACACGGUCCAAACUCCUACGGGAGGCAGCAGUGAGGAAUAUUGGUCAAGGGACGAGAGUCUGAACCAGCCAAGUAGCGUGCAGGAUGACGGCCCUAUGGGUUGUAAACUGCUUUUAUAAGGGAAUAAAGUGAGUCUCGUGAGACUUUUUGCAUGUACCUUAUGAAUAAGGACCGGCUAAUUCCGUGCCAGCAGCCGCGGUAAUACGGAAGGUCCGGGCGUUAUCCGGAUUUAUUGGGUUUAAAGGGAGCGUAGGCCGGAGAUUAAGCGUGUUGUGAAAUGUAGACGCUCAACGUCUGCACUGCAGCGCGAACUGGUUUCCUUGAGUACGCACAAAGUGGGCGGAAUUCGUGGUGUAGCGGUGAAAUGCUUAGAUAUCACGAAGAACUCCGAUUGCGAAGGCAGCUCACUGGAGCGCAACUGACGCUGAGGCUCGAAAGUGCGGGUAUCGAACAGGAUUAGAUACCCUGGUAGUCCGCACGGUAAACGAUGGAUGCCCGCUGUUGGUCUGAAUAGGUCAGCGGCCGAGCGAAAGCAUUAAGCAUCCCACCUGGGGAGUACGCCGGCAAGGGUGCAACUCAAAUGAAUUGACGG
This 909-nucleotide ribosomal RNA is filed under the name uncultured Bacteroidota bacterium. Its description in RNAcentral is "bacterial SSU rRNA". It matches the Rfam family "Bacterial small subunit ribosomal RNA", at positions 17 to 916 of the family's 1533-position model. Lineage: Bacteria; Pseudomonadati; Bacteroidota. The record is from RNAcentral.